Molecule: ribosomal RNA, 167 nt
Filed under: Clavispora opuntiae
Lineage: Eukaryota; Fungi; Ascomycota; Pichiomycetes; Serinales; Metschnikowiaceae
Description: partial 18S rRNA
Rfam family: Eukaryotic small subunit ribosomal RNA
Source: RNAcentral
GGGCCGCACGCGCGCUACACUGACGGAGCCAGCGAGUUGACCUUGGCCGAGAGGUCUGGGAAAUCUUGGGAAACUCCGUCGUGCUGGGGAUAGAGCAUUGCAAUUUUUGCUCUUCAACGAGGAAUUCCUAGUAAGCGCAAGUCAUCAGCUUGCGUUGAUUACGUCCC